RNAcentral lists this ribosomal RNA (120 nucleotides) under Erinaceus europaeus (western European hedgehog). The record is from RNAcentral. Lineage: Eukaryota; Metazoa; Chordata; Mammalia; Eulipotyphla; Erinaceidae.
GCUAGCUGGGCAUACCACCCUGAACAUGCCUGAUCUUGUCUGAUCUGGGAAGCUAAGCAGGAUCAGGCCUGGUUAGUACUUGGAUGGGAAACCACCUGGGAAUACCAGGUAUUGUAGGCU